GACGAACGCUGGCGGCGUGCUUAACACAUGCAAGUCGAACGGAAAGGCCCUGCUUGCAGGGUACUCGAGUGGCGAACGGGUGAGUAACACGUGGGUGAUCUGCCCUGCACUUCGGGAUAAGCUUGGGAAACUGGGUCUAAUACCGGAUAGGAGCCAUCUUUAGUGUGGUGGUUGGAAAGUUUUUUCGGUGUAGGAUGAGCUCGCGGCCUAUCAGCUUGUUGGUGGGGUAAUGGCCUACCAAGGCGGCGACGGGUAGCCGGCCUGAGAGGGUGUACGGCCACAUUGGGACUGAGAUACGGCCAGACUCCUACGGGAGGCAGCAGUGGGGAAUAUUGCACAAUGGGCGCAAGCCUGAUGCAGCGACGCCGCGUGGGGGAUGAAGGCCUUCGGGUUGUAAACUCCUUUCGCUAGGGACGAAGCUUUUUUGUGACGGUACCUAGAUAAGAAGCACCGGCUAACUACGUG
Molecule: ribosomal RNA, 465 nt
Filed under: uncultured bacterium
Lineage: Bacteria
Description: partial 16S ribosomal RNA
Rfam family: Bacterial small subunit ribosomal RNA
Source: RNAcentral